UGAGGUAGUUCAACAUAAGUUUAUAUUUCUCUUAGGUGAAUAUCUAGGCAUGGGAUUGCUGGGCUGUGUGAGCAGAUUUCCCUGGGCUCCUGGUUGGGCACAGAGUGGCUGGAAGAGGGCAAUCUGUGGACGUGGAGAGUAAGUUAGUGGAAAAGAGCACUCAGCAGGAGCCAGGCUGGGGCAGUUGUGCUGAUGCUGGAGUGAGGAGAAGUGGAGGAAGCUGUGCUAGUGUUUUUAUCGUCAGAGGGAUCCACCUGGUUCACCUUUGCUUCUGCAGAGGCUCAACACUGCCCUUGUGUUUUCAAACAUAAAGCUACCCUCAAUGGAUUUCCAAGGUGAAUCCUGCAGCUGCAUCCAUCCCAGACACUGGGGCCUUGAGUGCCUGUGGAGAACACCUGCAGAUGCUGGGCCUCGCCAUGAUCACCGGAGGCUAAGGGGUUAGCACACCGAGUCCUCACUGCCAGGAGGCCACAGAAACUCCCAGUGCUGA
Molecule: long non-coding RNA, 490 nt
Organism: Rhinopithecus roxellana (golden snub-nosed monkey)
Lineage: Eukaryota; Metazoa; Chordata; Mammalia; Primates; Cercopithecidae
Exons: 3
Source: RefSeq, a predicted model, not a curated record